Molecule: ribosomal RNA, 731 nt
Filed under: uncultured bacterium
Lineage: Bacteria
Description: bacterial SSU rRNA
Rfam family: Bacterial small subunit ribosomal RNA
Source: RNAcentral
AACAGGAUUAGAUACCCUGGUAGUCCACGCUGUAUACGAUGUCGACUUGGAGGUUGUGCCCUUGAGGCGUGGCUUCCGGAGCUAACGCGUUAAGUCGACCGCCUGGGGAGUACGGCCGCAAGGUUAAAACUCAAAUGAAUUGACGGGGGCCCGCACAAGCGGUGGAGCAUGUGGUUUAAUUCGAUGCAACGCGAAGAACCUUACCUACUCUUGACAUCCAGAGAAUUUGCUAGAGAUAGCUUAGUGCCUUCGGGAACUCUGAGACAGGUGCUGCAUGGCUGUCGUCAGCUCGUGUUGUGAAAUGUUGGGUUAAGUCCCGCAACGAGCGCAACCCUUAUCCUUUGUUGCCAGCACGUAAUGGUGGGAACUCAAAGGAGACUGCCGGUGAUAAACCGGAGGAAGGUGGGGAUGACGUCAAGUCAUCAUGGCCCUUACGAGUAGGGCUACACACGUGCUACAAUGGCAUAUACAAAGAGAAGCGAACUCGCGAGAGCAAGCGGACCUCAUAAAGUAUGUCGUAGUCCGGAUUGGAGUCUGCAACUCGACUCCAUGAAGUCGGAAUCGCUAGUAAUCGUAGAUCAGAAUGCUACGGUGAAUACGUUCCCGGGCCUUGUACACACCGCCCGUCACACCAUGGGAGUGGGUUGCAAAAGAAGUAGGUAGCUUAACCUUCGGGAGGGCGCUUACCACUUUGUGAUUCAUGACUGGGGUGAAGUCGUAACAAGGUAACC